GACGAACGCUGGCGGCGUGCUUAACACAUGCAAGUCGAACGCGCCUGUCCUCUGGGUUUCUGGGGGGUGGGUGAGUGGCGAACGGGUGAGUAACACGUGAGUAACCUGCCCCCUUCUUCGGGAUAACGGUCUGAAAGGGCUGCUAAUACCGGGUAUUCACUGGUCUCCGCAUGGGGUCUGGUGGAAAGGUUUUUUUCUGGUGGGGGAUGGGCUCGCGGCCUAUCAGCUUGUUGGUGGGGUGAUGGCCCACCAAGGCUUUGACGGGUAGCCGGCCUGAGAGGGUGACCGGUCACAUUGGGACUGAGAUACGGCCCAGACUCCUACGGGAGGCAGCAGUGGGGAAUAUUGACCAAUGGGCGCAAGCCUGAUGCAGCGACGCCGCGUGAGGGAUGGAGGCCUUCGGGUUGUGAACCUCUUUCGCCCGUGGUCAAGCCGCGACGUGGGUCGUGGUGAGGGUAGUGGGUAAAGAAGCGCCGGCUAACUACGUG
RNAcentral lists this ribosomal RNA (488 nucleotides) under uncultured bacterium. Its description in RNAcentral is "partial 16S ribosomal RNA". It matches the Rfam family "Bacterial small subunit ribosomal RNA", at positions 28 to 507 of the family's 1533-position model. The record is from RNAcentral.